AUACGUAGGGGGCGAGCGUUGUCCGGAAUGAUUGGGCGUAAAGGGCGCGUAGGCGGCCUGUUAAGUCUGGAGUGAAAGUCCUGUUUUCAAGAUGGGAAUUGCUUUGGAUACUGAUGGGCUUGAGUGCAGGAGAGGUUAUCGGAAUUCCCGGUGUAGCGGUGAAAUGCGUAGAGAUCGGGAGGAACACCAGUGGCGAAGGCGGGUAACUGGACUGCAACUGACGCUGAGGCGCGAAAGUGUGGGGAGCAAACAGGAUUAGAUACCCUGGUAGUCCACACUGUAAACGAUGAAUGCUAGGUGUAAGAGGUAUCGACCCUUUUUGUGCCGGAGUUAACACAAUAAGCAUUCCGCCUGGGGAGUACGGCCGCAAGGUUGAAACUCAAAGGAAUUGACGGGG
Molecule: ribosomal RNA, 397 nt
Filed under: uncultured bacterium
Lineage: Bacteria
Description: partial 16S ribosomal RNA
Rfam family: Bacterial small subunit ribosomal RNA
Source: RNAcentral